This 497-nucleotide ribosomal RNA is filed under the name uncultured bacterium. RNAcentral describes it as "partial 16S ribosomal RNA". It matches the Rfam family "Bacterial small subunit ribosomal RNA", at positions 28 to 507 of the family's 1533-position model. The record is from RNAcentral.
GAUGAACGCUGGCGGCGUGCCUAAUACAUGCAAGUCGAGCGAACGGACGAGAAGCUUGCUUCUCUGAUGUUAGCGGCGGACGGGUGAGUAGCACGUGGAUAAUCUACCUAUAAGACUGGGAUAACUUCGGGAAACCGGAGCUAAUACCAGAUAAUAUUUUGAACCACAUGGUUCACAAGUGAGAGACGGUCUUGCUGUUACUUAUAGAUGGUUCGGCGCGGCAUUAGCUAGUUGGUAAGGUAACGGCCUACCAAGGCAACGAUGCAUAGCCGACCUGGGAGGUGGACCGGCCACAUGGGAACGGGACCCCGGUCCAGACUCCUAGGGGAGGAAGCGGAAGGGAAUCUUGCGAAAUGGGCGAAAUCCUGACGGAGCAAGCCCGCGGGAGUGAUGAAGGUCUUCGGAUCGUAAGACUCUGUUAUUAGGGAAGAACAGAUGUGGAAGUAAAUGUGCACAUCUUGACGGUACCUAAUCAGAAAGCCACGGCUAACUACGUG